GGUCUUGCCUGCCCAGUGACAAUGUUAAACGGCCGCGGUAUUUUGACCGUGCGAAGGUAGCGCAAUCACUUGUCUUUUAAAUGAAGACCUGUAUGAAUGGUGAAACGAGGGCUUAACUGUCUCCCUUUUCUAGUCAAUGAAAUUGAUCUGCCCGUGCAGAAGCGGACAUAAAAAUACAAGACGAGAAGACCCUUUGGAGCUUAAGAUAUAAAGAUCAUCUAUGUCAAUGGGCCCCAACACGGCAACAAACUAAAUAGCAACUGAUCUUAAUCUUCGGUUGGGGCGACCACGGGAGAAAAUAAAGCUCCCACGCGGACUGGGGUAAACCCUAAAACCAAGAAAAACAUUUCUAAGCAACAGAACUUCUGACCAUUAAGAUCCGGCUACACGCCGACCAACGGACCAAGUUACCCUAGGGAUAACAGCGCAAUCCCCUUUCAGAGUCCAUAUCGACAAGGGGGUUUACGACCUCGAUGUUGGAUCAGGACAUCCUAAUGGUGCAGCCGCUAUUAAGGGUUCGUUUGUUCAACGAUUAAAGUCCUACGUGAUCUGAGUUCAGACCGG
This 564-nucleotide ribosomal RNA is filed under the name Glyptothorax maceriatus. Its description in RNAcentral is "partial 16S ribosomal RNA". It matches the Rfam family "Bacterial large subunit ribosomal RNA", at positions 1851 to 2619 of the family's 2925-position model. The record is from RNAcentral. Lineage: Eukaryota; Metazoa; Chordata; Actinopteri; Siluriformes; Sisoridae.